Molecule: small RNA, 546 nt
Filed under: Pongo abelii (Sumatran orangutan)
Lineage: Eukaryota; Metazoa; Chordata; Mammalia; Primates; Hominidae
Description: retained intron
Source: RNAcentral
CUGUCACCCAGUACCAACUCCAUCAAUCCUGUCUGGAAGGAGGAGCCCUUUGUCUUUGAGAAGAUCUUGAUGCCUGAGCUGGCCUCCCUCAGGGUGGCUGUGAUGGAGGAAGGCAACAAGUUUCUUGGACACCGCAUCAUCCCCAUCAAUGCCCUAAAUUCUGGGUACCACCACCUGUGCCUGCACAGUGAGAGCAACAUGCCCCUCACCAUGCCUGCGCUCUUCAUCUUCCUGGAGAUGAAGGACUACGUACCUGGUGCUUGGGCAGAUCUCACUGUGGCCCUCGCCAACCCCAUUAAGUUCUUCAGUGCCCAUGACAAGAAGUCUGUGAAGCUCAAGGAGGCCAUGGGAGGUCUGCCUGAGGUCUGUGUUGCCUGCACCGCUGCUCACCAGAGAUCGGCCCUAUUUAUGGGAGAGGAUGGGGAGAGGGCCGAGUCCCAGGCUCGGGGAGAGAGGGCUGUCAAGCCACCUUCCUAACCUGCUCUCCCUACACAGAAGCCCUUCCCACUGGCGAGUCCAGUUGCCAGCCAGGUCAAUGGGGCGUUG